AGAAUCUGCCCUCCACUUUGGGAUAACACCGGGAAACCGGUGCUAAUACCGAAUAUUGAAACAUAAGUGGCAUCACUGAGUUUUGAAAGAAUUUCGGUGGAGGAUGACUUCGCGGCCUAUCAGCUAGUUGGUGAGGUAAUGGCUCACCAAGGCAACGACGGGUAGCCGGCCUGAGAGGGCGACCGGCCACACUGGGACUGAGACACGGCCCAGACUCCUACGGGAGGCAGCAGUGGGGAAUAUUGGGCAAUGGAGGAAACUCUGACCCAGCGACGCCGCGUGCGGGAUGAAGGCCUUCGGGUUGUAAACCGCUUUCAGUAGGGAAGAAGCGAAAGUGACGGUACCUACAAAAGAAGCACCGGCUAACUAUGUGCCAGCAGCCGCGGUAAUACAUAGGGUGCAAGCGUUGUCCGGAAUUAUUGGGCGUAAAGAGCUCGUAGGUCGUUUGUUACGUCGGAUGUGAAAACCUGAGGCUCAACCUCAGGCCUGCAUUCGAUACGGGCAAACUAGAGUUUGGUAGGGGAGACUGGAAUUCCUGGUGUAGCGGUGGAAUGCGCAGAUAUCAGGAGGAACACCAAUGGCGAAGGCAGGUCUCUGGGCCAAUACUGACACUGAGGAGCGAAAGUCUGGGGAGCGAACAGGAUUAGAUACCCUGG
RNAcentral lists this ribosomal RNA (656 nucleotides) under uncultured Actinomycetes bacterium. RNAcentral's name for it is "bacterial SSU rRNA". It matches the Rfam family "Bacterial small subunit ribosomal RNA", at positions 121 to 790 of the family's 1533-position model. Lineage: Bacteria; Bacillati; Actinomycetota; Actinomycetes. The record is from RNAcentral.